Long non-coding RNA from Acipenser ruthenus (sterlet), 1469 nucleotides. RefSeq lists it as uncharacterized. NCBI's taxonomy places the organism in Eukaryota, Metazoa, Chordata, Actinopteri, Acipenseriformes, Acipenseridae. The record is from RefSeq and is a predicted model, not a curated record. The transcript is spliced from 3 exons.
GUUAUUCACCAAGAUGAAAAAGCACACAGUGUCACUCCUAUUUUAAAGGCUCUACUCCCUGUUGAGCACACAGUUCCAAUAGCUUUGGGAGAUUGCAGUAACACAUUCAGUGUUUCAGGGCAGUGAAGCCCUAACUUUCCUUCUGGAUACUGAUGCGACAGAGAAAGCCGGAGCAUAUUACAGCCUGGCACUGAACAAGUGGCAGCUCAGCUUCCGUGAGCCGGAGGGACAGGGGUGCCGCUGGAUUGAAGCACUGCAGGGGUAUGGCUACUCCGUCCAGCACUGAGCUGCUGACCUGCACCAGAAUGCCCAUGCCUUGUCCCGGCGCCAGUGCAGGCACUGUGCACAGCUGGAGGAGAAGGAAGCACAGCAGACCCCAGAUGAGCAGAUAAUGUUGUUGACGCUGACACCCCGGGAUCCUUCAAGAAGCUGCUUGAUGAGAUUCUGGGAUCAAUAAGCUACUAACAACCAAACGAGCAAGAUGGGCUGCAUGGCCUCCUCUCGUUUGUAAACUUUCUUAUGUUCUUCUUACGCUCUUAUAAAGAACAGGAAGAGAAAGAACAAUUUAUAGAAAAAGCGAUAUUUAUUGAAAAUUAAAAACACAUUCUUAAAAGUUACAUUCCCUUCAAAAAACUGAAAAUGUAUGUAUACACAUCCUUUUCAGCUGUUUGUUUAUCGUGCAUGUGUCCAAAUACCUCUGCACAGACAUGAAGGUGGAACCGACAACCUUGAGAUUUGAUCCACAGACCACAUGUAUGAAAACUUCUCUAAAUAAAAUGAACUCUGUUACCCCUUGAACUGAUAAAGAAAGCAGGUUAAGAUUCUUAUCAUUGACCAAAUGUUUUGCUUUCCCGGUGCCCUACUGGGCUGAUAAUAAACCAGACUUGAUAAUAAUCUGACAAUACACAUUAGAACUGUGCAGAGUAACAAGUACUCAUAACAAGUAGUAUAAUUUAUACGCAUGUAAAAUCCUUUUAUUUUAAUUUGGGGCCAUAUUUUCAAUGUAAAAAAUGCAUGAAUUAAGAGCCAGUCCAGAGGGGAAGGACUGAGGGACCAUGAGCUUCAACCUGGCAGUCAUUCGACACUGCAGACAGUGAGUCACAUUAAACAUUCCACUGAGAUCAAACUCUUUUCAGAGACAGACUUUCACUUUAAAAAUGGUAUUUCCAAAUAAUUUGGAUAACAUGGAUUUUUCUGGGAACAUAUUUCUGGGGACGUAUGUGCAAAAGAAAAGUGAGAUAUUUUCUAUGUUUAACAAAUUCCCAAAUUUGUAUCUGACUUUCCAAAGUAUAUUUUUGGAAAAACAUGUAUGUCUGUAUUUUUAAGGCUGAAGAUGUCCAGAGUGGUUCUAUAAUUGUGUAUUGCAAUAACCAGCUAUGAGUCUUAGAUUGAACUUAGAUUUUAUUUGUCUUUCCAACUGUUGAGUAUAAAAAAACACCUGAAUAAUCACUUGAAACCUCCAAAUAACU